Molecule: ribosomal RNA, 401 nt
Filed under: uncultured bacterium
Lineage: Bacteria
Description: bacterial SSU rRNA
Rfam family: Bacterial small subunit ribosomal RNA
Source: RNAcentral
CUAAGCUUGACAUCCUUUUGACCGAUGCCUAAUCGCAUCUUUCCCUUCGGGGACAGAAGUGACAGGUGGUGCAUGGUUGUCGUCAGCUCGUGUCGUGAGAUGUUGGGUUAAGUCCCGCAACGAGCGCAACCCUUGCCUUUAGUUGCCAGCAUUAAGUUGGGCACUCUAGAGGGACUGCCAGGGAUAACCUGGAGGAAGGUGGGGAUGACGUCAAAUCAUCAUGCCCCUUAUGCUUAGGGCUACACACGUGCUACAAUGGGUGGUACAGAGGGCAGCCAAGUCGUGAGGCCGAGCUAAUCCCUUAAAGCCAUUCUCAGUUCGGAUUGUAGGCUGAAACUCGCCUACAUGAAGCUGGAGUUACUAGUAAUCGCAGAUCAGAAUGCUGCGGUGAAUGCGUUCCC